Molecule: small RNA, 30 nt
Filed under: Bombyx mori (domestic silkworm)
Lineage: Eukaryota; Metazoa; Arthropoda; Insecta; Lepidoptera; Bombycidae
Description: ovarian small RNA-29023
Source: RNAcentral
UCGGUACCCCUCUGUGGCAUAAAGCCAAAC